UACGGGAGGCAGCAGUCGGGAAUAUUGCACAAUGGAGGAAACUCUGAUGCAGCGAUGCCGCGUGAGGGAAGAAGGUUUUCGGAUUGUAAACCUCUGUUGACAGGGACGAUAAUGACGGUACCUGUUCAGAAAGCUCCGGCUAACUACGUGCCAGCAGCCGCGGUAAU
This 167-nucleotide ribosomal RNA is filed under the name uncultured rumen bacterium. Its description in RNAcentral is "partial 16S ribosomal RNA". It matches the Rfam family "Bacterial small subunit ribosomal RNA", at positions 340 to 524 of the family's 1533-position model. The record is from RNAcentral.